Molecule: ribosomal RNA, 497 nt
Filed under: uncultured bacterium
Lineage: Bacteria
Description: partial 16S ribosomal RNA
Rfam family: Bacterial small subunit ribosomal RNA
Source: RNAcentral
GACGAACGCUGGCGGCGUGCCUAAUACAUGCAAGUAGAACGCUGAAGAGAGGAGCUUGCUCUUCUUGGAUGAGUUGCGAACGGGUGAGUAACGCGUAGGUAACCUGCCUUGUAGCGGGGGAUAACUAUUGGAAACGAUAGCUAAUACCGCAUAACAAUGGAUGACACAUGUCAUUUAUUUGAAAGGGGCAAUUGCUCCACUACAAGAUGGACCUGCGUUGUAUUAGCUAGUAGGUGAGGUAAUGGCUCACCUAGGCGACGAUACAUAGCCGACCUGAGAGGGUGAUCGGCCACACUGGGACUGAGACACGGCCCAGACUCCUACGGGAGGCAGCAGUAGGGAAUCUUCGGCAAUGGGGGCAACCCUGACCGAGCAACGCCGCGUGAGUGAAGAGGGUUUUCGGAUCGUAAAGCUCUGUUGUAAGUCAAGAACGGGUGUGAGAGUGGAAAGUUCACACUGUGACGGUAGCUUACCAGAAAGGGACGGCUAACUACGUG